UGCAGGCUGCAACCCGCCUGCAUGAAGUCGGAAUCGCUAGUAAUCGCGGAUCAGCAUGCCGCGGUGAAUACGUUCCCGGGCCUUGUACACACCGCCCGUCACACCAUGGGAGCCGGUAAUACCCGAAGUCAGUAGUCCAACCUCGUGAGGACGCUGCCGAAGGUAGGAUUGGCGACUGGGGUGAAGUCGUAACAAGGUAAC
RNAcentral lists this ribosomal RNA (201 nucleotides) under uncultured bacterium. Its description in RNAcentral is "partial 16S ribosomal RNA". It matches the Rfam family "Bacterial small subunit ribosomal RNA", at positions 1299 to 1500 of the family's 1533-position model. The record is from RNAcentral.